This 743-nucleotide long non-coding RNA is filed under the name Fukomys damarensis (Damara mole-rat). Its description in RNAcentral is "lncRNA (ENSFDAG00000026293.1)". Lineage: Eukaryota; Metazoa; Chordata; Mammalia; Rodentia; Bathyergidae. The record is from RNAcentral.
AGUUUUUGCAGUAUUGCUGUUUUCAGUUGGUUUGAUUAUUGCUCAGUCUCAUGUUUUUAUGUACAUUCCACAUGUUUUUCCCAAUGGGGGCAUUGUUUACCCUCUGUAUCACAUUUUUCCCCCUUUCUGUCCAUUCCUCAUCGCAGGCUUCCCCGCCAGCGGAGGCACGGCCAUAGCACCGCAGGUCUCACACCAGCCAGAGCGCUCAGCCUGCACCCAGCUCGCCACCAUGGGGACGGCUCAGGUUCUGCCCGGCAUCCUGCAGAAGCACUGCUGUGUCCUCCCGGACAGGAACACAGAUUUGGCACCUGUUGCUGGGCUGUACCCCUGAGGACAUCACCACGGCUGGUGUAAGUGCAUCCUAAACCCCGCCUGUCCUCUGAACCAUUUUCCAGGCUGCUCCCAGAAAAUUUCUAAUAAUUUUUUCUUUGUCUUUGCAGAUCAUUUUACAUGAAGAAGAUUUUCUUGUGACUAAAAUAAUCUCCAUAUCUGAAAACUGACUAAAUUCACAGUAGCAGAAAAAAUGUUUACUAUUGUUUAGAUAUUUAUUUUGUCAUUUUCAGUGGAAAAUACUGAAAUUAAACAUAUAUACAUAUAUAACAUUGGAUCUGACUCAUUUUUUUCUUUCAACUAAAACAACAUUUAAUGCUAUCUAGUCACUUCUCAUUGUCUAUGCUUUAGGUGAAAUAAUGAGGAAAAUACCCACAAGAUUAGUGUGAUAUAACAUGAUAUCAAGUUAUUCC